This is a long non-coding RNA of Zonotrichia leucophrys gambelii, 2355 nucleotides long. RefSeq lists it as uncharacterized. The transcript has 3 exons. Lineage: Eukaryota; Metazoa; Chordata; Aves; Passeriformes; Passerellidae. The record is from RefSeq and is a predicted model, not a curated record.
GGAGCGAACGGUUUAUCCCGGCCCCGCACCGCCAGCUCUGGGCGCCAUCUUGGGUGCGACUAAAACAACAAGUCUAAAACCCCCGGCGGGUCCCCGCGGCGUCCCCGGGCCGCGCUGCCCUCCCGGACCGUCCCAUCGCGUUACCUGAGGGGGUCCCGUGCGGGCGCCGCGCCCCGGCCGCUGCCGCCGGCCCUGCAGCGGCCCCGAACCCCCCCACCUGUCCUCACCUCACAAUGGUAGCUGCAGAGCGGGGGGGGAGGGGCGGGUGGCCGCCCGGGCCUCAUUACCAUAAUCUGCCUGGCAACAAGCCGCGCCGUCGCGCGCUGAUUGGUUGAAACUCCUCCGCCAGCCACGGUAGGGCACAGAAUUCCCCAAGGAAAGGCUUGGAGCGCCCAGAUGUCUUCUCUACCACAGCUGUGGGACUCAGCUUAUUUAGGUUGGAAUGGUUUGUUUGCCUUGAUUCAUGAACGACUGACUGCCAUCUUCAGAGGUUAAACAUCGCUUCAGUCUUCACGGACUAGAAGAGAUAAAGGAGACUGGAUGCCAUUGCAGGAAGAUACGUCUCACCGAGCAAGAGGAUGAGAGUUCACUAAAGAUUUUCUGCAAAGCAGCCUCUCCUUCCUCUCUCCCCAACACGUCUUCUCUGUGCCUUUACUUGUAGACCUCUAGAACCUCAAUCUUUGAGUUCUCUCUUGAAGUGUCACAUUCAAUGUUUGUGUUCAGUUCCUUGGAGAAGCAUCAGGUGUUGCUGCCAGUGCUCAAAGCCUCGGAUCCAUCUGUAGAGAGAAAAUGAGCAGCAUAAAUUCCCAGUUUGUGUAUUAGCUAAAAAGGUAGCUAGUCUCUGCUAUUUCUGUAUGUGGGAUCCUCAGUCUGAAUGUGGGCUCAUUACUCUAUUGAAUUAUAUAUCAGAAGUAAUUUCUUUUCCUGGGAAGUGAAUCCUACAUACAUACAAAUCUAUUCCAAAAUGAAUUCCUCCCGUCUCUCAGAUGUUGCUUUUGCCUUGGCUAGUCUUCAGAAAAACAAAUUGUCCAAUUAAAUUCACCAAUGGUUUUGCCCCCCAUCUAGAAAUGAGAGGAGGUCAUAGAUUUAGCACAUUUUCUGGAUGCUGAGAUUCAUAUGCAGAAUGUUGAAGGAGCAGCAGCUUUCCUUAGCAGCCACUCUCUUAUGCUGCCCUUAAGCAUCCUGGAUUGAUGCAUUUUUCAUUUUGCAAUGCAACUGAACCUUUCUGUGCUGGUGCUUCAGCAAAGCUGUAAUAUCUCCAAACCUAAAAAAAGGUUAGGUUAAUUUCAGUUACAGGAGUAUUAAUGCCAGGCUUGUUUCCUUAACAGUCUGUUACAUGCAAUAGGCAAGGACUGUGCUGUUUGAGGUGAAUACAGCACAAACUCCUGUGCAGAUCUGCCCACUUCAGACAUGUCAGUGGAAGCCAGAUGAAUGACACUGUUUCAGGCAUGGACCAGAGCAGUGGGAAAAAGGCUAGCAAGAGUUAAGGAUUUAUUGGAAUAAUGAAAAGUAGAUUUUCUCCCUUCCCUGCCAAUCCCUUUUAAAGAAGUCUCUGAGCAGAAACAAAGGCUUACUGUCCACCACCAUUUACUAUGUCACUUCUUUUCACAGAUUUCUGUGCUGUUUUUGUCACGUCUGCAGUUAUUCCAUUUUUCCCUGUUAUUCUCCAUCCUUUCACUCUUCUGAACUUCACUGUAUUCCUCUACAAAUCACCUUUUUGUUUUUAAGCUCCUGUCUGCCUCUCAACGUUUCUGCAUUUUUUGUUACCAUAUUUCUAUGGAGCAUCUUUGUUCUCACUGUAUAUCUUAAGCCCAGUUUCUUCAGCAGUUUCCUUCAUCUCACUGCUGCUGGACUUCCUACAUCUUGUCCCCACUGUGUCAUUUUCAGUCACAAAUGGAAGGCUGAGCUGCAAGGCUGCAAGAACCCUAGACUUCCACACAGAAGUGCUGUAGACAAAUACAGAUGCCCAAUUCCAGGCAGUGAACUGAGCACUGAUGGCCUUGGCUCUUGAAGAGGAAUAUCCUGUGUUUUAGCCUCACUGCAGGACUUCAGCUCUAACACCCUGGUGUAUCUACAGUUCAGGACUAGGAGCAGGUGAGGAUGCAGCUAAGUUUGUACCUCAUACUUAUCAGAGAGACUUCUCCAAGAGUCACUAGAUUUGAAGUUUUUCAGAAAAACAAGGAUCACACUGUUGGAGUCAGUGCUGUGAACAUAAAUUCUCACCAAGCACUAUGUAAAUAUUAAAAGUAAAUUAAUUUAUAUAGCACUUUAAAUACUAUAUAAAUUCAACCUCGAAUGAAAGUCCCAUCCCAAAGAUUUAUAAAGAACUUGUACAUUUUGGACUGGGGGAAAAAA